UCCCUGGUGGCUAAGAGGGUAAAGCGUCUGCCUGCAAUGCGGUAGACCUGGGUUCAAUCCCUGGGUCGGGAA
Transfer RNA from Ovis aries (sheep), 72 nucleotides. It matches the Rfam family "tRNA". From Rfam's summary of the family: Transfer RNA (tRNA) molecules are approximately 80 nucleotides in length. Their secondary structure includes four short double-helical elements and three loops (D, anti-codon, and T loops). The record is from Rfam. Lineage: Eukaryota; Metazoa; Chordata; Mammalia; Artiodactyla; Bovidae.